This 871-nucleotide ribosomal RNA is filed under the name Ocellularia erodens. Its description in RNAcentral is "partial large subunit ribosomal RNA". It matches the Rfam family "Eukaryotic large subunit ribosomal RNA", at positions 160 to 945 of the family's 3401-position model. The record is from RNAcentral. Lineage: Eukaryota; Fungi; Ascomycota; Lecanoromycetes; Ostropales; Graphidaceae.
GCUUUCGGGUGCGGCCCCGGUCCAAGUUCCCUUUGGAACAGGGCGUCCGCAGAAGGGUGAGAAUCCCGUACGCGGCCGAUGGCCAAGCCCAUGUGAAGCCCUUUCGACGAGUCGAGUUGUUUGGGAAUGCAGCUCUAAAUGGGUGGUAAAUUUCAUCUAAAGCUAAAUAUCUGCCGGAGACCGAUAGCGCACAAGUAGAGUGAUCGAAAGAUGAAAAGCACUUUGAAAAGAGAGUCAAACAGUACGUGAAAUUGUUGAAAGGGAAGCGCUUGCAACCAGACUCGUUCGCGGGUGCUCAGCCGUCCCUCGGGGCGGUGCACUCUCCCGCGUUUCGGGCCAGCAUCGGUUUCGGCGGUCGGAUAAAGGCCCCGGGAACGUAGCUCUCUUCGGGGAGUGUUAUAGCCCGGGGUGCAAUACGGCCAGCCGGGACCGAGGACCGCGCGUUCGCUAGGAUGCUGGCGUAAUGGUUGCCAGCGACCCGUCUUGAAACACGGACCAAGGAGUCGACCAAUCUGGCGAGUUUUAGGGCAUGAAACCCUGAAGCGCAAUGAAAGUGAACGUAGGUGGGAGCCCCCGGGUGCACCAUCGACCGAUCCUGAUGUCCUCGGAUGGAUUUGAGUAUGAGCCCGGUUGGUCGGACCCGAAAGUGAGUUUUUUUCCAGGACCUUCCCCGGGCAAUCUUGCUAACGAAUGCUUCAGGAUGGUGAACUAUGCGUGAAUAGGGUGAAGCCAGAGGAAACUCUGGGUGGAGGCUCGCAGCGGUUCUGACGUGCAAAUCGAUCGUCAAAUUUGCGCAUAGGGGCCGAAAGACUAGUAAGAAUUAUUUCGUUAUUAAAAAUUUACUCGCUAACGGUUUCAGAUCGAACUAUCU